AAAGAAUGGGAACUCUUUUAUGGAAAACUAUAAAUUUAUUCUCCACAAGUAAUCCGAACUAAAACGUAGAUUCUGUGUUUUUUGAAUUAGUCUUUCUCGGCACCAAGGAGUCAUGGUUAAUAUAACCCCAUAUCAAUGAUCAAAGAUUGAUUCUAAGAUUCUGGCUCGUGUUGCAAAGUUUUCUCAUAAAAUUUAACUAUCCGGCGUAUGAAUU
RNAcentral lists this unclassified non-coding RNA (214 nucleotides) under Hevea brasiliensis (rubber tree). Lineage: Eukaryota; Viridiplantae; Streptophyta; Magnoliopsida; Malpighiales; Euphorbiaceae. The record is from RNAcentral.